Molecule: transfer RNA, 73 nt
Organism: Pseudogymnoascus sp. WSF 3629
Lineage: Eukaryota; Fungi; Ascomycota; Leotiomycetes; Thelebolales; Thelebolaceae
Rfam family: tRNA
About the family: Transfer RNA (tRNA) molecules are approximately 80 nucleotides in length. Their secondary structure includes four short double-helical elements and three loops (D, anti-codon, and T loops).
Source: Rfam
GCCCCCAUAGCUCAGUUGGUAGAGCGCGGCACUAGUAAUGCCGAGGUCUACGGUUCAACUCCGUAUGUGGGCA